Non-coding RNA from Bos taurus (domestic cattle), 72 nucleotides. NCBI's taxonomy places the organism in Eukaryota, Metazoa, Chordata, Mammalia, Artiodactyla, Bovidae. The record is from Rfam.
UCCCUAGUGGCUCAGACGGUAAAGAGUCUGUCUACAAUGCAGGAGACCUGGGUUCAAUCCCUGGCUUGGGAA